UUAACUAUUAUAUAGUACUCAGACGACACUAAUAUUCAGAGUUUGGGGUCCUCUGGCGAGCACUCACCAGCAGAAGCCGGUGGCCGAAGCGGCUCGCCAAAGCAACAAAGGUUGUAUUAACAUAGGGUUGGAGAGUCACCCGUGAGGGCGAUGUUCUCUGUAAUGAUCCCUCCGCAGGUUCACCUACGGAGA
This 192-nucleotide unclassified non-coding RNA is filed under the name uncultured fungus. RNAcentral describes it as "sequence contains ITS1". The record is from RNAcentral. Lineage: Eukaryota; Fungi.